UCUAAGAAACAGAAGUGUGUCUGUAGAA
This 28-nucleotide non-coding RNA is filed under the name Rattus norvegicus (Norway rat). The record is from RNAcentral. Lineage: Eukaryota; Metazoa; Chordata; Mammalia; Rodentia; Muridae.